Molecule: unclassified non-coding RNA, 151 nt
Filed under: uncultured Cenococcum
Lineage: Eukaryota; Fungi; Ascomycota; Dothideomycetes; Gloniales; Gloniaceae
Description: sequence contains ITS2
Source: RNAcentral
CACCCCUCAAGCCAGGCUUGGUGUUGGGCGACGUCCUCUUUGGGGACGCGCCUCGAAUCGUUCGGCGGCGUGGCACCGGCUUUAAGCGUAGCAGAAUCUUAUCUUUCGCUUUGAAAGUCGGGGCCACGUCUGCCGGAAGACCUACUCGCAA